AAUGGGGUGGCUGUCGACGCUUCACGACCGUGCGAUGCAAGGACAGACGCCUUCAGGAGCCUGUUGACGCAACUUGACAGAAGCAAUUACAACUGCAACUGCCCGGAGCAAACCCAGGUCGAUGCCUUCGCCAAUCUCAUCAGACGUGUCCUUAGUAAAGCAAACUGCAAUACCGUGAAGAUCGCGUUGGAAUUGCAAAACUUACGUUGUUAAAGGUGAACAGUCCAGUUGGUGUGGAAAUAAGAUGAGAGAUUUUUUUU
Long non-coding RNA from Penaeus monodon (black tiger shrimp), 260 nucleotides. RefSeq lists it as uncharacterized. The transcript is spliced from 2 exons. The record is from RefSeq and is a predicted model, not a curated record. Lineage: Eukaryota; Metazoa; Arthropoda; Malacostraca; Decapoda; Penaeidae.